This 3407-nucleotide long non-coding RNA is filed under the name Brassica napus (rape). RNAcentral describes it as "long non-coding RNA (BNAP_LNC001056)". The record is from RNAcentral. Lineage: Eukaryota; Viridiplantae; Streptophyta; Magnoliopsida; Brassicales; Brassicaceae.
UGAUUAUUAUUCAAAACGAACCUCGCUGACAUUUCUUUUUCCCCAUUUCCGUUUUUACCCUUCACUCGGUUAGGGUUCAACAAAGUUGACUCAGAUCGGAGCAACCUCUCUCUGUAAGCUGAUCGAGAACCAAACAAGAAGAAGAAGACAAUCAUGUCUAGACAAGUCGCAAGGCUCCUCGGAUCUCUGUCUCGCCGCUGCUCAAGCACCAGCUCCGAAGCUAUUCCUCCGACUCUCAGCUCGUUCACCCAAUCUCGCUCAUUCGCGUCGGAUCCUCCCCCUCCAGCCGCCGUCUUCGUCGACAAAAACACCAGAGUCAUGUGCCAAGGGAUCACCGGAAAGAACGGGACUUUCCACACCGAGCAAGCCAUUGAGUACGGCACCAAAAUGGUAAAGUCUUCACCUUUUUGAAGUGAUUUGAAUUAAAGAUUGUAGCUUUAUGCUAAUUAUGUGUGUGUUGAUUGUGUAAUUAACUUUUUUUUCCUCAAUUUGAUUUAAAGCUUGUGGCUUUCUAGUGGUUCCUCCUCAAUUUGAUUUAAAGAUUGUAGCUUUAUGCUAAUUAUGUGUGUUUGAUUGUGUGAUUAGGUGGCAGGAGUGACGCCAAAGAAGGGAGGAACGGAGCACUUAGGCCUCCCUGUGUUCAACUCUGUUGCUGAAGCAAAAGCUGAGACCAAAGCCAAUGCCUCUGUGAUCUAUGUUCCCGCGCCUUUCGCUGCUGCUGCUAUUAUGGAGGGGAUAGAAGCUGAGUUGGAUCUUAUUGUGUGUAUUACUAAGAUAAAGUGACUUCGUAUCAACAUUUAAAAAUUGUAAAAAUUCUGGAGUUCUUAAAUUCAUUUCUACGAAGUCAAUAAUUUUUUUUGUUAUUAAAAAAUAAAAAUUAAUAUUUUUUGUCAUUUAAAAAUUGGGCGGUAUUGUUAUCUUAAAAAUUCAUUUUGUAAAGUAUAUGUUUAUAGCAAAUUUUCGAAGAUUAACUCUAAUAAAAAAUGUUAAAUUACUGUAAUAGAAAUCUCAUAUUCAUUAUCCAAAAUGGCAUCAUAGCCAUGAUCACCUUGGUGUUUGGAACUUAUCCAAACUCUAAAAAAAUGGCAUCAACCAUUUCAUCAUCUUCUUACAAUCAUUUCAGAGAUUUACACAAUCCAGAGUUUUCUAUAAGAGAAGAUAAGAAAAUGUUUUUUUCUUUCUGAAUUUGUCAUCUCAUCAAAUAUAAACAUAAUAGAAAUAAAAUGAAAAUUUGGUAUGUCCCUCCAAAUUUUGAAGAAACGUUGGGUUGUAAUGGAGAAACUUUAAAAUGUUUAAAAAAAUCUAAAGUCAAUAAAAUAAAAGGACGAAUGAAAUUUCUUAUCGGAUAUUAUGAUAAUCACAACCAAUGGGGUUCAAGAUUUGGAAAACAACUACAUCACAUAUGCCCUUUUUCUAUUCAAUGAAAUUUACAUGACCAUUCCAUUUUCAUCGUAAAACAUAUUAAAGAGUUUAGUGGGACAUCUUUGAACAAGGAUUGUGCAUCCCAUUUUUCUCCAAAUCUUCAAUCCUAUUUUUCAGUUACAUUUAAAAUCUGUCUAAAUAGAAACAUAUAUAACCAAAAUGUAUAAAAAUUUAAAUAAAAAAUAUAUGAUUGGUUGUGAUUCAUCAAGAGGAGAAGAGGAGUUACUCUGAUCAGAUGAUCUAAAUGUUGUCUGAAUAAUUCCAGAUGAUGCUGACGGUAUUGCUGAGGGGAAACGGGAGCGCGUAUCUCAUAUAUGUACCAUCUACCAAAUUGUAGUAUACUACGAAGACAUAUCUCUCUCUAGUAAAAAUAAAUGUUUCUUUGAAACUAAAGAUAAUUCUUUCAUUUGGGGACAGCCCUUCAAAAUAUAGCCUUACUAGAGCAAUGGUGGAAAUUGUCGGUAGAGAUUAUCAGGAGUGUUCAGUGAGGAGAUGCAUGAGCAGCUUCAUGUAGUAUCCACAAUUUAAAAGUGCUGCAUUUAACCCAGCGCAAUGCCAAACCUAGAUUACUUAUGUAGUUUAUAAGCACAAAGGUUGGGGUUGUACACCCCGUUUUACUCAGUUCUUCAGACAUGUUAAUCAUGCCGCUGAAUGUUUAAGGCAUCAAGUCUAGUUUGACUAAAAUAUGUCCUGGGUAAUCACAACCAAUGAAGUUUCAAGAUCUGGAAAACACUUAUAUCACAUCUAUUUUGAAACUAAACAACGUAGAAGAUAUUAUCAUUAAAGAUAUUUUCAUUUUGUAAAACAUGUUAAACAAUUUUGUGGGACACCUUUGAACAAGUAUUGUGCAUCCCAUUUCUCUCCAAAUCUUCCAUUCCAAUUUUCAAUUACAUUAAAAAUCUGUCUAAAUAGAAAAACAUACAACCAAAAAUUAUAACAAUUUAAAUCACGAUAGAUAUAUUAACUAGAACUAGAACAUGUUCAAUUUUAUAUAUAACAUUAGUAGAUGAUUAUCUUUGUUAGUUUCGAUUACGGAAGACAAUAUUAUACAUGUAGAAAAAUGUACUUUUUAUUUAUUCAAAAUUAAGAAGUUAUGAUAUGUUUGGUAAGUUUUUCGAUAACAUGAAUUAUGCAAUUAGAACCUCUAACAGGUAUGUAAUGUUUAUCUGCUUUAAAUUUCCAGCUGAUAGCAUAAUCCAAUUCAUAAGAAGUAAUCUAUUAACAAACAAAACAUACAGACUAAAUUAAAAAUGCAUAAUCAUAUUACCAAAAAGAAGAGAUUAAAAAAAAUAGUUAGACUAAACUUCAAAAAUCAAAUAAUCACAAGAAAAUUUAUGAUUUAAGAAACUACAAAACAAACACAUCAAACAUCCUAACAAAUAAGAAUGUCAAACAAUGCUUUCACUUCAUGGUCAACACAAAAACUUCCUUUCAGCUUAGCUUCAAGAUUCUCUGAAAUUAACUCCUCCUCUAGAUAAAACAGCAAACAUCAUUUAACCAAAAUAUAUAUUUUGCGGUAGAGAUCAAUUUAGUUUUGAAUAAAACGUCAAGCAAUGACUUUACCUCCUAUAUUGUUUCUCAAAUCAAUUUGGGAUCACUCUCUCUAUUCUUCUAGGUGUAUGAUUCAAAACUUCAAAUGUUGUAUGUACUAUAUAUAUUAUUAUAAAGAUUAUUGGGCUUGGGCUAAAACUUCAAAAGCCUCUUUUGAUCUGCUGAUUAUUAUUCAAAACGAACCUCGCUGACAUUUCUUUUUCCCCAUUUCCGUUUUUACCCUUCACUCGGUUAGGGUUCAACAAAGUUGACUCAGAUCGGAGCAACCUCUCUCUGUAAGCUGAUCGAGAACCAAACAAGAAGAAGAAGACAAUCAUGUCUAGACAAGUCGCAAGGCUCCUCGGAUCUCUGUCUCGCCGCUGCUCAAGCACCAGCUCCGAAGCUAUUCCUCCGACUCUCAGCUCGUUCACCCAAUCUCGCUCAUUCGCGUCGGA